GACGUAGGGCGCAAGCGUUGUCCGGAUUUAUUGGGCGUAAAGAGCGUGUAGGCGGUUUGGUAGGUCCGUUGUGAAAACUCGAGGCUCAACCUCGAGACGCCGGCGGAAACCAUCAGGCUAGAGUCCGGAAGAGGAGAGUGGAAUUCCAGGUGUAGCGGUGAAAUGCGCAGAUAUCAGGAAGAACCCCCGUGGCUAAGGCGGCUCUCUAGUACGGUACUGACGCUGAGACGCGAAAGCGUGGGGAGCGAACAGG
Molecule: ribosomal RNA, 253 nt
Filed under: uncultured bacterium
Lineage: Bacteria
Description: partial 16S ribosomal RNA
Rfam family: Bacterial small subunit ribosomal RNA
Source: RNAcentral